This 405-nucleotide ribosomal RNA is filed under the name Triticum aestivum (bread wheat). RNAcentral's name for it is "partial small subunit ribosomal RNA". Lineage: Eukaryota; Viridiplantae; Streptophyta; Magnoliopsida; Poales; Poaceae. The record is from RNAcentral.
AUCAAGAAUUUUUGGUGGGGCGGUGAGGAAAAUAUAAGGAGAACUCAUUGGCUGUCUUGGGAUAAGAUGACAAGACCAAAAGGUGAAGGGGGUAUGGGCUUCCGUGAUCUUAGGCUAUUUAAUCAAGCUCUUUUGGCCAAACAAUCGUGGCGUCUAUUGGUUUUUUCACACUCUUUGUGUGCUAAGGUGAUAAAAGCAAAAUAUUGUCCUCGUGGGCAUCUUAUUGAUAUUGUCUUCCCUCAAUCAACAUCGCUUCCGUGUCAAGGUAUUAUGCAUGGCCUUGAUUUAUUGAAACAAGGCGUCAUAUCGAGAGUUGUCGAUGGGGCCAAUAUUAACAUAUGGAGGGAUAAUAGGAUUCCUAGGGAGUCUGGCCUAAAGAUUACUGCUAAGAAAAAAAAGAACUAG